GAAGGUCCCAAGCGUUGUUCGGUAUCACUGGGCGUAAAGGGAGCGUAGGCGGCGCGGUAAGUCAGAUGUGAAAUCCCGGGGCUCAACCCCGGAACUGCAUCCGAUACUGCCGUGCUUGAGGGUUGGAGAGGUAGCUGGAAUUAUCGGUGUAGCAGUGAAAUGCGUGGAUAUCGAUAGGAACACUCGAGGCGAAGGCGAGCUACUGGACAACAUCUGACGCUGAGGCUCGAAGGCUAGGGGAGCAAAAGGGAUUAGAUACCCCUGUAGUCCUAGCAGUAAACGGUGUGCGCUUGGUGUGAGGGGAUUCGACCCCCCUUGUGCCGGAGCUAACGCGUUAAGCGCGCCGCCUGGGAAGUACGGCCGCAAGGCUA
This 371-nucleotide ribosomal RNA is filed under the name uncultured bacterium. Its description in RNAcentral is "bacterial SSU rRNA". It matches the Rfam family "Bacterial small subunit ribosomal RNA", at positions 527 to 896 of the family's 1533-position model. The record is from RNAcentral.